UAUAUAUAUAUAUAUAUACAUGUAUGCAUCUAUACAGAUAUACACAUACAUAUGUAUGUAAUGUUUAGCAUAUACAAUGCAUAUAUAAGUGUUGGUGCAUAUGUAUUUUAUGUGUAUAUGUAUUGUACAUGACUUUAUUAAUGCGUCAAACACUCACCAAAUGCUAACCAAUUUCACUUUAAACCUUAAAAAAACCCUAUUAUAAUUAUUGAAGUAUUUUUCUACAAUUUAUUUUUCUGUGUUUUAUUUUAUUUCUAUUCUCUUUCAUUUUUACAAUUUUUUGUGUUUUGUUCAUUUAAAAAAAAUUUUUACAAGUUAAAUAAAAUUCUUUUUUUUUUUUUAAAAAAAACUAUCUUCCUUAUAUUGUCUGCAGUAAAAGACUUGCAGCUUAGGAACAGUUUCUUUUUUUUAAUGGCAAUUUUUAAAUAACUGUGAUAUCUGCUGCAUUCUACAAAAUUAUUAAAAAAAAUAAUAAAAGCAAACCAAAAACAGUGAUAAUAUUCUGUGAAAACAAGCAUAUUUUGUAUAAAGUUUCAUGUGCAUUUUCUCUCAUUUUUAAGAGUUGUCAAAUAUUUUGACUUAAAAAUUAUAAAUUUUUAGUUCAGGUUUGUAUUAGGUAAAUAAAUAAAUAAAUAAAUAUACAACUUUAAUGGGGAAAGACAAUUAAGUAAUUAACCACUAAAAACUUAAAAGAAAUGUUUUUAAACAUUUAUUUUUUGAAUCCACAGUAUGUAUAUGGCACUAAUUAAUUUUAACAGUGGAUAAAUGCAGCUAUAGAUAAUAGUGUCUAGAAUAUUAAGUUUAAAAACCCUUUAGAAAGAAAAAGUCAAAGGGUGCCCAUGAAACAAGAACCUCUAUCUUCUGUUAAUAUGACAGAUGUUCUAACUACUAUACCAAAGCAAUCCUUUAAAAUUUGUCCUUCUGUUUUAGAAGUUUUGUUCUUACCAGCAAGAAUUGUAUGUUGGUUAUACCAUAAGAAUUAAAACACACCAAGAUCUCUAAAAUAGAUUGUUUUAAAUAAUGGAACUUGAAGUAGAUAAAUCUAUAAAAAAUAGUGUAGAAGAUCAAGUUAAAAAAACCCUUGGAUGGAAAAAGAAAAUGAAGGCUGGAUGCAAACUUCAUAAUAUGUAUGUUUUAAGCUUAGAAGCUAUUGGAGAUUUUCAAUGAAUUGUAAAUGUUACAGUUUAUUUGAGUUUAUUAAAUUAACACAUUAAAAGAUAUAUAUAAACCUUGUAUUGUUUAAUAAUGAAUAAAUACAUACUAAGGAGAAAACUAAGUUUGAUACUAUAUUGUACAACUGGGCUGCAUAUAUCAUAUUAUUAUGUCUAACUAAUCAGCUGAAUAUACAGGUUGCAGCAAAAAAUAAGAAAAAAAAUGCAACUUAUCACAUUUUAUUGGUUGACAAAUGUUUAACAGCAAGCACACAGUGUUCAUUGGUUCAGACUAUGAUGGCAACAUUAGUUAUAUGAAGAUACCCAACUUUAAUAGUGCCACACCAACAGCCAUGUAAAAUAUGAAAGUUUUUUGCUCCUGCACUAUGUAUGUAUGUAUGUGUGUGUGUAUGUACUACACAUAUUUGCAUACACAUAUAUAUUUUAAACAGGCUUCUGCAUAGUUUCUAUCAUUCAAACUAAAGUCCUACUUGACACAAAUUAUAUCAUUAAAUAAAUAUUAAAUUUAAUAUCAAAACUGGUUAUGUUUACAAUCAAAUUAAAUUUAUUACAUUAGUAAAUUAAAAUUAUUCUGCUAAAUAAUAAUUUUAGACAUACAUAAUCGAAAUAAAAUUAUUAGAAAAUUUACAUUAUUUAACAAAGUAAUUAUCAUUAUAAAAUUAUAAAUAUGGUUGCAGUGAAACUAUCACAGACCUAAAGAAACAAUGGUAACAAUAAUACACAUCUAUUAUGUAUAAAUCAAACAAUCUUUGAAAUACAUAUUCAUUACAGUUUUAUUUUAAUAGUUUCUUUUUUAAAUACUAUUUAAUACCAUUUACUUGUCUGCUCUAUUUCAAUGAAUCGUAUUUCUCAUAUCCGAAUUUUUCUUUAUCAAAUUAACAUCCUUUUACCUUUAUAAAUGUCAAUUUAAAAUUUCAUUUUAGAGAUUUAGUAAAGCCAAUGACACCAAUGACUGGCAAGCUGCCAUCUUUAAUGGCUUUAUCGGCUGAGAUUGAUCAUUGAGGGUUUUCAGGUAAGGUCUAUGGAACUCUGAGUAAGGCCUAUGGAACUCUGGGAAUUUCAAGGGCUGGCAGAAGAGUCAUCAAGAACAAUGUAGAGGCUGCUGAAAAAGCAUCCAGAUGAGUUUGGCUGGAAAGAGGUGAUUGGUGGGGUCAGUAGAAUGCUUCUCAGAUGCAACCCUAAGCUUGAUCAAGUUAUAUCAAGUUGCCUGGAUGAGUGUAAUGGCUUGGAAAUGAAGAAUUCAGCAAAUAUCUUUUCAAUAUAACUAAUUACACCUAAUAAUAACAUAAACAUCCACAUCUCAGUAUAUUGUUCUUUAUAGUUCAACAUACAUCUACAGAUGCAAUUCUUGGAUCCUUCAUCAGUGUUGUAUCCUGGAAUCACUGGCUGUUUUGGGUAAAAAAAAUACAUCUUCAUCCAGUCAAUCUGGCCUAUAUUGAUCAAGACUAGGCUUGUGUCCAAGCAGCAAUCCUUGACCUCACUGACCAUCUUUUUAAACCAGAACCCCAGAGCCAUCCCGAGCUUUUCUCAGCUAUCUCUAUGUUGCUCUUGAUGGCUCUUCUUUGCUCAUUCCUGUAAAGUUCAAGAUUUCAAUGGUUUUGCCCAAAGCACAACAAAUGAUCCAUUGACUGCUAACCUUCACUGGCAAAUCCAUUACGGUUGGUAGAAUUAUUAGUGUCAAACACAAAUACCUUACAAUAUUUAGUUAGGACUCUUGAUGUUCUGAGUUCUGCUGGGGUCAUUUUACUUUUCGUCAU
Molecule: long non-coding RNA, 2929 nt
Organism: Octopus sinensis (East Asian common octopus)
Lineage: Eukaryota; Metazoa; Mollusca; Cephalopoda; Octopoda; Octopodidae
Exons: 2
Source: RefSeq, a predicted model, not a curated record